AGUGAACGCUGGCGGUAGGCCUAACACAUGCAAGUCGAACGGCAGCACAGUAAGAGCUUGCUCUUACGGGUGGCGAGUGGCGGACGGGUGAGGAAUACAUCGGAAUCUACUUUUUCGUGGGGGAUAACGUAGGGAAACUUACGCUAAUACCGCAUACGACCUACGGGUGAAAGCAGGGGAUCUUCGGACCUUGCGCGAUUGAAUGAGCCGAUGUCGGAUUAGCUAGUUGGCGGGGUAAAGGCCCACCAAGGCGACGAUCCGUAGCUGGUCUGAGAGGAUGAUCAGCCACACUGGAACUGAGACGCGGUCCAGGCUCCUACGGGAGGCAGCAGUGGGGAAUAUUGGACAAUGGGCGCAAGCCUGAUCCAGCCAUACCGCGUGGGUGAAGAAGGCCUUCGGGUUGUAAAGCCCUUUUGUUGGGAAAGAAAAGCAGCAGGUUAAUACCCCGCUGUUCUGACGGUACCCAAAGAAUAAGCACCGGCUAACUUCGUG
RNAcentral lists this ribosomal RNA (492 nucleotides) under uncultured bacterium. RNAcentral's name for it is "partial 16S ribosomal RNA". It matches the Rfam family "Bacterial small subunit ribosomal RNA", at positions 29 to 507 of the family's 1533-position model. The record is from RNAcentral.